Molecule: transfer RNA, 69 nt
Filed under: Ictidomys tridecemlineatus (thirteen-lined ground squirrel)
Lineage: Eukaryota; Metazoa; Chordata; Mammalia; Rodentia; Sciuridae
Description: Spermophilus tridecemlineatus (thirteen-lined ground squirrel) tRNA
Rfam family: tRNA
About the family: Transfer RNA (tRNA) molecules are approximately 80 nucleotides in length. Their secondary structure includes four short double-helical elements and three loops (D, anti-codon, and T loops).
Source: Rfam by way of RNAcentral
GGGGUUGUGGCUCAGUGGGAGAGUGCUUGCCUAGCAUGCAUGAGGCACUGGGUUCAAUUCUCAGCACCA